This is a long non-coding RNA of Camelus dromedarius (Arabian camel), 437 nucleotides long. RefSeq lists it as uncharacterized. The record is from RefSeq and is a predicted model, not a curated record. Lineage: Eukaryota; Metazoa; Chordata; Mammalia; Artiodactyla; Camelidae. The transcript is spliced from 4 exons.
AGAUGAACGCCCUUUGAAGAAUUUUGAAAGCUGUAAAGCACUACAGAAAUAGAGGGUGUGACUCUGACUCCCUGCUGGGUGGAUGAGUGUGGGUCCAGAAGCCACAAGAAGCCUGAAACAUUUGAAGGAUGGGGGCCCUAGGCAGGACACAAAAAGACUGGGAUUACAGAGCUGAAGAAGCAGAUGACCCAGGUCCUAAACCCACAGUGGACAGCCUGACCCCACAGUCGUGGGUUUGGACUCUGUCUUAUAUUCCAGAGGAUAGCAAGCUGGCUCCUGCAGACCAACUGACCUCCUUUUCACAUGACUCUUCUCAGCUGCAGCUGCUGGGUGAGUCCCAAUCCAAGGCGGUUUCGCAGCCAAGCCUUGCGUGAAGUACAUCAUGCGGGUGUCUGUCCAGUCCCGGGAGAACAUGAGGUUGGUGCUGCGGCCAAGAC